Molecule: transfer RNA, 71 nt
Filed under: Conexibacter arvalis
Lineage: Bacteria; Bacillati; Actinomycetota; Thermoleophilia; Solirubrobacterales; Conexibacteraceae
Also listed under: 3 other names
Description: Conexibacter sp. KV-962 tRNA
Rfam family: tRNA
About the family: Transfer RNA (tRNA) molecules are approximately 80 nucleotides in length. Their secondary structure includes four short double-helical elements and three loops (D, anti-codon, and T loops). Further hydrogen bonds mediate the characteristic L-shaped molecular structure. tRNAs have two regions of fundamental functional importance: the anti-codon, which is responsible for specific mRNA codon recognition, and the 3' end, to which the tRNAs corresponding amino acid is attached (by aminoacyl-tRNA synthetases). tRNAs cope with the degeneracy of the genetic code in two manners: having more than one tRNA (with a specific anti-codon) for a particular amino acid; and 'wobble' base-pairing, i.e. permitting non-standard base-pairing at the 3rd anti-codon position.
Source: Rfam by way of RNAcentral
UGCGGGAUCGUCUAAUGGCAAGACACUCGGCUCUGGACCGAGUAAUCGGGGUUCGAAUCCCUGUCCCGCAG